RNAcentral lists this long non-coding RNA (3037 nucleotides) under Salmo salar (Atlantic salmon). RNAcentral's name for it is "lncRNA (ENSSSAG00000108466.1)". Lineage: Eukaryota; Metazoa; Chordata; Actinopteri; Salmoniformes; Salmonidae. The record is from RNAcentral.
AUAAUGGCUGUCUUCUCUAUCCAUUAUAAUUAAGUUCACACAACAUGUAAUUUAGGUGUUGUUGAAUACAACUGCAAUCACUGUACACAGCUGGAAAUACAUUCCCUAUAGGCGCUGCCCCUGCAAACAAUAAUGAGUCGUGGGAUGUCCCUGGGAUGUUACGAAAAUGGUCGCCUAAAGUCAUCAGAACGUUGUCAUGGUCCCUGGAGGUUUUGUCUAGUUCCUGGACGGUCCUGGGGAUGUCCCCAAUGUCAUUUUUAGGAUGUUCUUGGGACGUUGUGUCAUGGUUUGUCCCGGUUUGUCCUGUGGAUGUCACCUGAUGGUCGAAAAUAAAUGUUUUCCCCUCCAAAAAUGUUUUACCCAGGGCAAUGGCACCCUAGUUAUAUUACACAUCACUCCUUCUUACUGUUGCCAAGCCCAUCAAGGUCCUGAUUGGUGAAUUACUGAUCCAGUUGUUUGUCUUUUGGCAAUGCUAGGAACACCCCCACACAGUGCUUUUUUUCAACUUACAUAUUUGAAACACUUUGACAUACAUGAUUGCAUUGUGUAUGUUUAUUCAUACAGUAAUUAUUAUUUAACAUGUCCUCACCUGGGAUUUGAACUCACAACAUCUGGUUCACAGCAUUCCAAUAUUCCUGCUACUCCAUCUUGUCUGUAUCAAUAAAUGAUUUCCCCAGAAGGCCUGUUCCUAUACUUUACACUUCAAAGUACAGCCCCCAAUAUAGUAUGGCAUUGGUUGAAGCUCAAUGUUAAAUUCACUGUUAAAUUCAAAUCUCCCUACCAUCAUGUCUAAGCCAAUAUGACACCAAUGUGUUUUAUUUUUUACAACCGUACAGCUGGCGACCGAAGUCAGCGCGCAUGCAGCUGGCCCGCCACAAAGAGUCGCUAGAGGGCAAUGCGACAAGGACAUCCCAGCUGGCCAAACCCUCCCCUAACCCGGACAACGCUGGGCCAAUUAUGCACCGCCUUAUCCGUCCCCCGGUUGCGAUGCAGCCCGGGAUUGAACCCGGGUCUGUAGUGACGCCAUGACACCAAUGUCAAUGAAAAUUUGCAAAUCAACUCGAUUGGAGGUACACAACACACUCCCUGCCUCUCGUCAUGAGCUCUCCGGUCGUUACCGAGAACCACAUACCGGAUUAAAAUGAGACUAUAGCGUCCAUAAAGUGACCCUUGGAUUAAAAUGAAAUUGACAAAACUGAAUUGACAAAAUGUAUAGGUGCAACAAAUGUGAUUAAAUUCAUAAUUUAUCGCUCUCACGUGCUAAUUUCUUUCUAUUAAGAACCAAGGAUGUGCUACUUUUUGUAGCAUUUUGGAAAAUGCCAACAUCUUUUCAGCCGAAUCUCAGAGUUCUAAAACUGGGGCCAACAACUCAGUUGCUGCACAAAAGCGACAGCUAGCUAGUAGCAGGCUAGCAACUGUAGCUAGCUAACUAACACCAGUUGGAUGAAAAGCAAGCUGCAAAGGAAGCUAGCUACCUUGAUAUAUUGGGCUAUUGAAGAGUUUUCACAUGGCUGAAGUCAUCUGUGUAACAAAAUUAGAGCGCAAACAAAUAAGACAGUGAAUGUCCUUGGCUGCUAUUAAACACAUAUAGAUAGCCAACAACUAUCCACAGGAACCGGGAUUCAUUGGACCAGGCAAUAUUUUCCACACCUCAAUUAUCCAGUGUUGCUGAUCACAUGCCAUGUUUUUCAUGCAAUGUUUUCCACACCUCAAUUAUCCAGUGAUGGUGAUUGCAUGCCAGUGUUGUCAUCUGCUGCAAUAGCCCAUCCAUGACAAGGAUUGACAACUUGACUGCUGCUGACUGGAUGUUUUUGAUUGUAACACCAUUCUCGGUAAACCCUAGACACUGUCGUGUGUGAAAAGCCCAGGAGGGCAGCCAUUUCUGAGAUACUGGAUCCGGCGAACUUUGCACCGACGAUCAUACCACGCUCAAAGGGCUUGUGUGGUGAAUGGACGGUAUGUGCCUGCAAGAUUUCUGGCUGCCAGGACCACGGACAGCAGUGGGAAGUAUUCCCCAGAGGCAGCACCACGUACAGCUCAGGGGCAAACUGCCAGACUGCAGCAGAACAGCCACACCUGUUUGCAGUUGUGAACGAGGAGCAGGAGGAGGAGGAGGAGGAGGAGGAGGAGGAGGAGGAGGAGGAGGAGGAGGAGGAGGAGGUGGUGGUGGUGGUUUACCGGAAUAAAGAAACUGAGAUUUGAAUAUGGAGUGAACCCUAAAGACCCAGAGUGGAGGACUUUCCACUGGUGACAACAUUUUUACUUUCGGAAAAAAAAGUGAUCCAACCAUGGGAGAGCAUCAGUGAAUUAGGACAGGAGGGUCCUCUAAGGAUGGCUUCAACAGGCUCUCAGAUGGAUGGCAUGCCGAGUCUCGUCACCCUGUCACCACCUAGCAAACGGGACGUCCCGAGGACAUUCCCAUUCGUUCCCUUAAGGGUUUCGGUGCAACAUUACCCUACUGACGUUCCGAGAACAUCGCAUGGACAUUCUGUGGGACCUUUGUUUAGUUCCCUGUACAGUCCCAGGAUGUCGCUGAGGAUCAUGUCAGGACCUUUUUAGGACAUUCUCAGGACUUUUAUUUGACUAAUCCUUAGGACAUUGCGUGAUGGACCCAAGGGAACAUUCUCUGGGGAACCAUAUUACUGUAACGUUCAUCGUAUUGAGUGGACCAAAACGCAGCGGGAACGUGUAUACUCAUCUUCUUUAUUGAGAAGGAAUGUGAACACUGAACAAAAUAACAAACACUGACGAAGACAGUCCUGUAAGGCUAAACGCUAUACACGGAACAACUACCCACAAACACAGUGACAAAAACCCCUUACUUAAAUAUGGCCUCCAAUUAAAAGCAACGAAGAACAGCUGCUUCUAAUUGAAGGCCAAACCAAAACCCUGAACAUAGAAAUAGACUAAAUAGACACAGACAUAGAAAUAUACUAACAUAGAACAUUGCCCCCAAAAAACGAAACACACUAAACAAACACCCCCUGCCACGCCCUGACCAAACUACAAUAACAAACAACCCCUUUUACUGGUCAGG